ACCCGCUGAAACNUAAGCAUAUAACUAAGCGGAGGAAAAGAAACUAACAAGGAUUCCCCCAGUAACGGCGAGUGAAGCGGGAAGAGCUCACGUUGUGAAUCUGGCCCUCGGGCCCGAACUGUACACUGGAGAGGCGAGGCCAGCCGCUGUCCGCGGCCAAGUCUGAUUGGAAAUGAGCAUCAAGGAGGGUGACAAUCCCGUCCAUGCCGCGGUAUCGAUCAGCGCGCGUCCGGCCCGCUUUCGACGAGUCGAGUUGCUUGGGAUUGCAGCUCAAAGAGGGUGGUAAACUCCAUCCAAAGCUAAACACGGGGGGGAGACCGAUAGCGAACAAGUACCGUGAGGGAAAGAUGCAAAGAACUUUGAAAAGAGAGUUAAAGAGUGCCUGAAAUUGCUGGAAGGGAAGCGAAGGAAAGAGGUGUGCGGUUGCCCGGGCGCCAACCCCUACCUGUCCGCAGGUGGGGGUAGGCCGCCCGGCCGCAGUCAGGGGUAGCGCCGGGCUCGGGGGAAGAGCCGUCGGGGAUCGGUAGGCGUGCCGCUUCGGUGGAGCGUUGUCAGGCCCCGGUGGUUAUUGCCCUGAGCCCGGCCCCCUUCUGGCGGUCGCGGCUUUUCUUCACCCCGUCUUGAAACACGGACCAAGGAGUCUAGCGUGGACGCGAGUAGAGGGGUGUCCAAACCCCCCUGCGCAAUGAAGGUGAACGCCGGUGGGAGGCAGCACUCGUUGUUGCCAGCACCAUCGACCGAGCGUGCUCCUCCGGGGGCAAGGCUUGAGUGUGAGCGUGCAUGCUGGGACCCGAAAGAUGGUGAACUAUGCCUGAAUAGGGCGAAGCCAGGGGAAACUCUGGUGGAGGCUCGUAGCGAUUCUGACGUGCAAAUCGAUCGUGAGAUUUGGGUAUAGGGGCGAAAGACUAAUCGAACCAUCUAGUAGCUGGUUCCCUCCGAAAUUUCCCUCAGGAUAGCAGCGGCCGAGUUUGACAGUUUUAUCAGGUAAAGCGAAUGAUUAGAGGCUGCGGGGGAGUAACUCCCUCGCCCUAUUCUCAAACUUUAAAUGGGUAAGGAGCUGGGGUCGCUUGGUUGGACCCUCGGCAUUGGAAUGGCUGGUCGUUAGUGGGCCAGUCCGGGUAAGCUGGACUGGCGAUGCGGGAUGAACCGAACGCCUAGAUGAAGCGCCUCACUGCCCGCUCACCUAGAUCCCACAAAAGGUGUUGGUUCAUUCAGACAGCAGGACGGUGGCCAUG
Molecule: ribosomal RNA, 1235 nt
Filed under: Dictyota ciliolata
Lineage: Eukaryota; Phaeophyceae; Dictyotales; Dictyotaceae
Description: eukaryotic LSU rRNA
Rfam family: Eukaryotic large subunit ribosomal RNA
Source: RNAcentral